GGAAAGGUGGCAGAGUUGGUCGAUUGCAUCUGAUUUGAAAUCAGAAGAAUGAUGAAUUCCAGGGGUUCGAAUCCCCUCCUUUCCUA
This 86-nucleotide transfer RNA is filed under the name Cyanoptyche gloeocystis. RNAcentral describes it as "tRNA-Ser". It matches the Rfam family "tRNA". From Rfam's summary of the family: Transfer RNA (tRNA) molecules are approximately 80 nucleotides in length. Their secondary structure includes four short double-helical elements and three loops (D, anti-codon, and T loops). Further hydrogen bonds mediate the characteristic L-shaped molecular structure. tRNAs have two regions of fundamental functional importance: the anti-codon, which is responsible for specific mRNA codon recognition, and the 3' end, to which the tRNAs corresponding amino acid is attached (by aminoacyl-tRNA synthetases). tRNAs cope with the degeneracy of the genetic code in two manners: having more than one tRNA (with a specific anti-codon) for a particular amino acid; and 'wobble' base-pairing, i.e. permitting non-standard base-pairing at the 3rd anti-codon position. The record is from RNAcentral. Lineage: Eukaryota; Glaucocystophyceae.